GGAGCCGUAGCGAAAGCGAGUUUUAACUGAGCGUUCAGUUACUUGACGUAGACCCGAAACCGGGCGACCUACCCAUGAGCAGGAUGAAGCGAAAGUAAAAUUUCGUGGAGGUCCGAACCCACGAGCGUUGAAAAGCUCGGGGAUGACUUGUGGGUAGCGGUGAAAUUCCAAUCGAGCCCGGAGAUAGCUGGUUCUCCCCGAAAUAGCUUUAGGGCUAGCCUCAAGGUGAGAGAUACGGAGGUAGAGCACUGAAUGUCCUAGGGGGUAUUGCACCUACCGAAGACUAUCAAACUCCGAAUGCCGUCAUCUUAUACUUGGGAGUCAGACUGUGGGUGAUAAGAUUCAUAGUCGAAAGGGCAACAGCCCAGAUCGUCAGCUAAGGUCCCUAAAUGUAAGUUAAGUGGUAAAGGAUGUGGGAUUGCACAGACAACCAGGAUGUUGGCUUAGAAGCAGCCACUCAUUCAAAGAGUGCGUAAUAGCUCACUGGUCGAGUGAUCCUGCGCCGAAGAUUUCCGGGGCUAAAACUUACUACCGAAGCUACGGCAUCAGUAAUGAUGGGUAGGGGAGCUUCCCAUACGGGUUGAAGCAUGACCGUAAGGACAUGUGGACAGUAUGGGAGUGAGAAUGUUGGCAUGAGUAGCGAGAUGUGGGUGAGAAUCCCACAGGCCGUAAACCCAAGGUUUCCAGGGGAAGGUUCGUCCGCC
Molecule: ribosomal RNA, 704 nt
Filed under: Clostridioides difficile
Lineage: Bacteria; Bacillati; Bacillota; Clostridia; Peptostreptococcales; Peptostreptococcaceae
Description: partial 23S ribosomal RNA
Rfam family: Bacterial large subunit ribosomal RNA
Source: RNAcentral